Molecule: ribosomal RNA, 274 nt
Filed under: uncultured bacterium
Lineage: Bacteria
Description: partial 16S ribosomal RNA
Rfam family: Archaeal small subunit ribosomal RNA
Source: RNAcentral
AUACCAGCCCCGCGAGCGGUCGGGGUGCUUACUGGGCCUAAAGCGCCCGUAGCCGGCUCGGCAAGUCCCCUCCUAAAGCCCCGGGCUCAACCCGGGGACUGGAGGGGAUACUGCCGGGCUAGGGGGCGGGAGAGGCCGAGGGUACUCCCGGGGUAGGGGCGAAAUCCUAUAAUCCCGGGAGGACCACCAGUGGCGAAGGCGCUCGGCUGGAACGCGCCCGACGGUGAGGGGCGAAAGCCGGGGGAGCGAACCGGAUUAGAAACCCUAGUAGUCC